This 380-nucleotide ribosomal RNA is filed under the name uncultured eukaryote. RNAcentral describes it as "partial 18S ribosomal RNA". It matches the Rfam family "Eukaryotic small subunit ribosomal RNA", at positions 592 to 976 of the family's 1831-position model. The record is from RNAcentral.
CAAUAGCGUAUAUUAAAGUUGUUGCGGUUAAAAAGCUCGUAGUUGGAUUUCUGCCGAGGACGACCGGUCCGCCCUCCGGGUGAGUAUCUGGUUUGGCCUGGGCAUCUUCUUGGAGAACGUAGCUGCACUUGACUGUGUGGUGCGGUGUCCAGGACUUUUACUUUGAGGAAAUUAGAGUGUUUCAAGCAGGCACACGCCUUGAAUACAUUAGCAUGGAAUAAUAAGAUAGGACCUCGGUUCUAUUUUGUUGGUUUCUAGAGCUGAGGUAAUGAUUAAUAGGGAUAGUUGGGGGCAUUCGUAUUUAACUGUCAGAGGUGGAAUUCUUGGAUUUGUUAAAGACGGACUACUGCGAAAGCAUUUGCCAAGGAUGUUUUCAUUGA